GAUGAACGCUGGCGGCGUGCCUCAAACAUGCAAGUCGAGCGAGGCUAUGAAUUACCGCAAGGUAAGGCAUAGCCUAGCGGCGAACGGGUGAGUAACACGUGGGUAACCUACCCGGAAGACAGGGAUAACGAUUCGAAAGGGUCGCUAAUACCUGAUAAUAUCCAUCUGCCGGAUGGCGGAGGGAAGAAAGGGGAAACCCGCUUUCAGAUGGGCCCGCGUCCCAUCAGCUAGUUGGUAAGGUAAAGGCUUACCAAGGCGACGACGGGUAGCCGGUCUGAGAGGAUGUACGGCCACACUGGGACUGAGAUACGGCCCAGACUCCUACGGGAGGCAGCAGUUGGGAAUCUUAGGCAAUGGACGAAAGUCUGACCUAGCGACGCCGCGUGAGGGAAGAAGGCCUUCGGGUUGUAAACCUCUGUCAUGGGGGAAGAAGGAAGUGACGGUACCCCAAGAGGAAGCCCCUGCUAACUACGUG
Molecule: ribosomal RNA, 475 nt
Filed under: uncultured bacterium
Lineage: Bacteria
Description: bacterial SSU rRNA
Rfam family: Bacterial small subunit ribosomal RNA
Source: RNAcentral